CGGCCGCGGGANNUCGAUUAGAGUUUGAUUCUGGCUCNNNUUGAACGCUGGCGGCAUGCCUUACACAUGCAAGUCGAACGGCAGCACGGGAGCAAUCCUGGUGGCGAGUGGCGAACGGGUGAGUAAUAUAUCGGAACGUGCCCAGUCGUGGGGGAUAACGCAGCGAAAGCUGUGCUAAUACCGCAUACGAUCUACGGAUGAAAGCGGGGGAUCGCAAGACCUCGCGCGAUUGGAGCGGCCGAUAUCAGAUUAGCUAGUUGGCGGGGUAAAGGCCCACCAAGGCGACGAUCUGUAGCUGGUCUGAGAGGACGACCAGCCACACUGGAACUGAGACACGGUCCAGACUCCUACGGGAGGCAGCAGUGGGGAAUUUUGGACAAUGGGCGCAAGCCUGAUCCAGCAAUGCCGCGUGCAGGAUGAAGGCCUUCGGGUUGUAAACUGCUUUUGUACGGAGCGAAACGGCUCUCUCUAAUACGGGGGGCUAAUGACGGUACCGUAAGAAUAAGCACCGGCUAACUACGUGCCAGCAGCCGCGGUAAUACGUAGGGUGCAAGCGUUAAUCGGAAUUACUGGGCGUAAAGCGUGCGCAGGCGGUUAUAUAAGACAGAUGUGAAAUCCCCGGGCUCAACCUGGGACCUGCAUUUGUGACUGUAUAGCUAGAGUACGGUAGAGGGGGAUNGAAUUCCGCGUGUAGCAGUGAAAUGCGUAGAUAUGCGGAGGAACACCGAUGGCGAAGGCAAUCCCCUGGACCUGUACUGACGCUCAUGCA
This 769-nucleotide ribosomal RNA is filed under the name uncultured bacterium. Its description in RNAcentral is "bacterial SSU rRNA". It matches the Rfam family "Bacterial small subunit ribosomal RNA", at positions 1 to 753 of the family's 1533-position model. The record is from RNAcentral.